Molecule: long non-coding RNA, 518 nt
Organism: Rosa rugosa (rugosa rose)
Lineage: Eukaryota; Viridiplantae; Streptophyta; Magnoliopsida; Rosales; Rosaceae
Exons: 3
Source: RefSeq, a predicted model, not a curated record
AGAGAGAGAGAGAGAGCUCCGAUUAUCGAACCAAUGCCUCCGACUCCGACUCCGACUCCGACUCCGGCAAGGGCCAGUGGUGAUGAGCUGAUGGCAAAGCAGAAGGCAGCAGUGAACAUGAUCAUGACUGCUGCAUUGCUUGUGACUUGCGUGAGCCUCCGUCGAUUCGUGGUUCCACUUUCGAAAGGCAACUUUCUGCUCAGGGAAUUGGCUCUCUUCUGGUUCAUAAGCACAAUCAUGCUCAUUCCUAUCAAUCUCUUCACCUUUGUUGUCUUUGUCUAUCAUUUCCAAGGGGAAAACAUCAGGAGAACCAUUGGUUUCUUCUGUCUCUGGGGAGCUAUAUCCUUUGGUCUUCGGUAUUUAAUUUGAGGGUCUGCAGGGGGUUCCAAUUUUGCUGGUAUCUUGUAGGAAAAGAUGGACCGGGAUAUCAGUUUGAUUAGUUUUAGAAAGAGAAUACCAUGCCCAUCUAUGUUAAUAACUCCAGUACUACAAAGUCAGUAUCUAAGUCAUUACUUAUA